AAGACCUUACUUCAUAGGAUCAUUUCUAUAGUAAGCUCUUAACAAGACGCACACAUCAUGUGAUCCAAAUGAAAUUGGA
Maniola jurtina (meadow brown) is the source of this 79-nucleotide small nucleolar RNA. RefSeq annotates it as small nucleolar RNA U3. Lineage: Eukaryota; Metazoa; Arthropoda; Insecta; Lepidoptera; Nymphalidae. The transcript has a single exon. The record is from RefSeq and is a predicted model, not a curated record.